Triticum dicoccoides is the source of this 795-nucleotide long non-coding RNA. RefSeq lists it as uncharacterized. The record is from RefSeq and is a predicted model, not a curated record. Lineage: Eukaryota; Viridiplantae; Streptophyta; Magnoliopsida; Poales; Poaceae. The transcript is spliced from 5 exons.
ACCGCCUUGUGCACUUUGGAUGCCCGCGCGCUGGUGAGUUGCUGGCGGUGAAAACCUGUGCAAAAUUAUUGGCGUGGACAAAACAAUCUCUUACUGCUCACACUGGAACUCGAGGCUGCUAUGAUGAUUCUGGCUUAUCUAAUUAUGCAAGGAAGCCCCCUCCCCUUCUCUCUCUUCCACGAGUUGGUACUCCAAAAGUUAAGCUAGCAUGCAUGCACUUCCGCCAAUUCUGUGAGGCAAAAAGCAAAGAAUCAUGAUGGUUGGAGCUCAUCGGCGCGUCAUGUGGUCAUGCCGAGUUGAUUUGUUAUAUGCCGCACAGUAAUUAUUCUCCACAGUAAUUCUGGAGCGUGAAGGCAGCAUUCAGCGACAAGAUGGUGUACUGCCACUGGCAGACAGCAACCGAAGCAAAGAAAGCUUCACGUGAGACUGUAUGCAAAGUAGAAAGCAUGAAGGCAUCUGGCCCAGUCUCCCUUGGUUUCGACCUCGAGUGGAAAUCCUUUCCCAGAAGAGGCGUGGAGUGUACUGGUGAAGAUGGUGGCUGCAGUGGGAGGCGAGCAGGGCGGCAUGGAGGAGGAGAUGAGCCAAGAUGGCCACUGCCAGGAGUUCACUUCUCUCAACUCGGAGGCAUCUUGUACCUACUCCCCUCACCUCAUGAUGCUCAUGGAUAGGGUGGGGAAGAAUGAUAAGUGGUACUGCAGGUUGGGGUUUUGCGUUUUGCAUUAGCAAGACCUGUCUGUUGACUGAUUAGUCUCAAGUAACUCGAUGUCAAUGUUUCCCUUUCAAAGCAGCAGAAAA